Molecule: ribosomal RNA, 469 nt
Filed under: uncultured bacterium
Lineage: Bacteria
Description: partial 16S ribosomal RNA
Rfam family: Bacterial small subunit ribosomal RNA
Source: RNAcentral
GACGAACGCUGGCGGCGUGCUUAACACAUGCAAGUCGAACGGAAAGGCCCUGCUUGCAGGGUGCUCGAGUGGCGAACGGGUGAGUAACACGUGGGUGAUCUGCCCCUUACUUUGGGAUAAGCCUGGGAAACUGGGUCUAAUACUGGAUAGGACCAUGCUGUAGGUGGUGUGGUGGAAAGAUUAGUUUCGGUAAGGGAUGAGCUCGCGGCCUAUCAGCUUGUUGGUGGGGUAAUGGCCUACCAAGGCGUCGACGGGUAGCCGGCCUGAGAGGGUGGACGGCCACAGUGGGACUGAGAGACGGGCCAGACUCCUACGGGAGGCAGCAGUGGGGAGUAUUGCACAAUGGGCGCAAGCCUGAUGCAGCGACGCCGCGUGGGGGAUGACGGCCUUCGGGUUGUAAACUCCUUUCAGCCAUGACGAAGCCCUUGUGGUGACGGUAGUGGUAGAAGAAGCACCGGCUAACUACGUG